CAGUCUGAGGACAAAGCAGAAGAGUAAAGUCGCUGUCACAAGAAGCAGCUAAGUGACACCAAACACAAAGCAAUCAUCAUUCCUUGCCUAUGUCCCACACACGGUUCAUACCUAGAUUACCCAAAUUCUUGCACUGACCAAGAAAUCAAUGCAACAACAGUUCCAGAAUCAACGAAUAGGGUCAUCUCCAUAACCCAGUGGGACACUUAGAGGAUGAUUCCUGACAAAGUUGUGCUCAAAAAAUUAUAACAUACAAAACAUACUCUGAGAAAUGGUCAGCAGAAGGAGAGAAACAUCACUUGAAGGGGUUACAUGGAAAAGGGAUUCUACAAAGGGCUUUUAAAUAAUGUUUACAACAGAUGUAUAUGUUCUAUAAGUAAAAAACAGAGUCAUUGGUAUAAGACCUCUAUAGGCAGGUUAAGCAGCAAACUAGACACAGGUGAAGAGAGACUCAGUGAACUGAAGGCAGCGCUGAGAAAAUCAUCCAAAAUUCAGCACAGAGAGCUAAAGAGGUCCAGGGAAGGGUUGCUGGAGAUUGAGUGGAGACAUUAGAGUUAAGACCCAAUGACCAGGGAGAUCCAGCCAUGAAAAGAAAUGAGGCUGAGGCUCCUAGGCAUGGAGGCAGACAAGCACAGCAGGAGAGGUUGUGUGCCUGCUGUGUGCGAAGGUGAUGAGGCGAAGAGGACGCUUGAGACCAGCCCAGAAGUGGGGCUCCCGGGAGCCAUGCUCCAGCCGGUGCAGAGGCCUUCCUGAGAGUGAGAGCUGACCUUCUGCACACUCACUCACGGGUUCCCUGCCAAGCGCCCACUGUGGGCCAGGCCCUGUGCUCAAGGCCAUGGGGAAUGCUGAGACGAGUAAAACCCAGACACCUGUCCUCAAGGGCCACUCCUUGAGUGCGCCAACAGACCAGCAAGUUCAAUGCCCAAGGAAUCCGCAAGCUGGCUUAGAAGAGGAGGAGUGGGGAGUGGGGUCAGGGAAGGAGCCCCUUAGAGACCUGAUGGAGGGAGGCAUGGGAUGGGCUUCUCAAGAGGGCUGGAGAGCUCUCUGCUCUGCAGUAUGGGUGGCAGAGGGGACACCCACAUCUGAAGGAGCACCCAACCUGUGCCCUCCAGGGUCCUCGCCAACCCCACGGCAUGAGGCAGUCUGGAACCUCGGCAGGCAUUUCUGCACCUGGGCAGGUGAGACCAGCCGCAGCCUCACCUGGCAGUCGGACGGAGGAAGCGAGCAUUUCAGACCCUUGAAGACAAGAGCUCCUCCAGGAGAGCACACAGCCAACAGGAGAGCAGCACCGACGUGGCUGUCCCGACACCUCCGCUCACCCACCCCCAGGCCAGGCAGCUCGGGGAAGCAUGGGACAUGGGAAGGUCACACCUGGGGACCUUCAUCACCACCUUUUCUCUCCCUCUGAUCUGACCACCCAGACUCCAGCAAGACCCACGGAACACCCUGCGACUGCAGCCAGCCCGCCUCUGCCCGCUGGUCUCUGGAAUUCAGGCCUCUCCACAUCCUGCAGCAGCCUCGGGGCCUCCCGCAGACCCAGCACCGCAGCCAUCCCUCCAGCCGUGGUGCCAGGUGCCUGGGGUGGAAGGGCACACACGCCAGCCACCAAGGGCAGGCACCGCUGGCACGGGGGCAGGCUCCUGGGCCGUCUCCAGUGCCUUUCUCUUCUUGGGGUUCGGGAGCCUCCAUUUCCACCGCACUUCUUCAGGCGCAGUUGCUGGGCCAGAAAUGCCGUGCUCUUCAAGCGUCUCUCAUCCAGUGUGAAAUCCAGGUCCACCAAGUGCUCCAAUCACGGUGCAGGCCCAGCAUGUGCUCCCUGGAGCUCCCAGCCCUCAGGACAGAGGACAGCCCAGCAUCACAGGAGACCAGAGCCCUGGAGAGGAGAUCCUGGAGGCUGUGGCCGAGGAGGGUUAUGAGGGAGCCCCAAGAGGCACCUGUUCUGGGGGACCUGACACAAAGGAGUGAGCCCAGGGCUCCAGAAAGGUAGACCAGCAGGGCAAGGCAGGAGAGCCACAUGUUACAGGACACAGCCCCAGAGGACGCCUCCCUGUUCUGGCCGCUGCACCAGUCCUGGACAGGACAGUCACAUGGAAUCCUCAUGACUCUAGGAUGCAUGUUUAUCAUGUUCCCAUUUACAGAGGAGGAUGCGGAGAUGCAGAGAAAUGUCCCCAAGGUCCCAUAGUAGGUGGUGGCGGCACUGGGAUUUUAAAGCAGACAUGCCAGAGUCCAGGACCCAUGCCCCGAGCAAGGCCCAGAGGGACAGUGUGGAAACAGCCCCAUGUGCCCAGGAAACUGCCUGCAAGAGCCAGAGAGAGGCGGGUCCUGAGCAGGGACCCUCUGCUCAUGUGAUUCCCAUUGACAGCACCUGGUUCCAAGGCACUUCCUGGGGACAGUCAGCACUUUCUGGCAGGGACAGGGAAUCAAGUGCAAAACUCAUGAUUUUUUUUUUAAAAUA
This is a non-coding RNA of Ictidomys tridecemlineatus (thirteen-lined ground squirrel), 2455 nucleotides long. Lineage: Eukaryota; Metazoa; Chordata; Mammalia; Rodentia; Sciuridae. The record is from RefSeq and is a predicted model, not a curated record.